CAGCCGCCACGGGAAUACGGAGGGUGCAAGCGUUAAUCGGAAUUACUGGGCGUAAAGCGUGCGUAGGCGGUUCGUUAAGUCUGUUGUGAAAGCCCCGGGCUCAGCCUGGGAAUGGCAAUGGAUACUGGCGAGCUAGAGUGUGUCAGAGGAUGGUGGAAUUCCCGGUGUAGCGGUGAAAUGCGUAGAGAUCGGGAGGAACAUCAGUGGCGAAGGCGGCCAUCUGGGACAACACUGACGCUGAGGCACGAAAGCGUGGGGAGCAAACAGGAUUAGAUACCCCAGUAGUCCCUGUAUCUUAUAC
This 301-nucleotide ribosomal RNA is filed under the name uncultured bacterium. RNAcentral's name for it is "partial 16S ribosomal RNA". It matches the Rfam family "Bacterial small subunit ribosomal RNA", at positions 509 to 807 of the family's 1533-position model. The record is from RNAcentral.